RNAcentral lists this long non-coding RNA (138 nucleotides) under Corvus moneduloides (New Caledonian crow). RNAcentral's name for it is "lncRNA (ENSCMUG00000011200.2)". Lineage: Eukaryota; Metazoa; Chordata; Aves; Passeriformes; Corvidae. The record is from RNAcentral.
CAAAUGCAAUACAACCAGAAGAGCUGUAUGACAGCAAGAAAAACUAUUCUGCCAGUCCUGUUGUGGGAGAAUGUGAGAAUACUUUUUUAUAUCCAUUUCACAGACAGAUUUGAGCAUCCAGUCACAGAAUGGUUGAAG